RNAcentral lists this non-coding RNA (24 nucleotides) under Arabidopsis thaliana (thale cress). The record is from RNAcentral. Lineage: Eukaryota; Viridiplantae; Streptophyta; Magnoliopsida; Brassicales; Brassicaceae.
GGUAUAACUACGAGUAUCUUCUAC